CUUUCUUAAAACCAUCUAAUGAGCGAUGUCUUUCUUACACCAUAGAAUCUGUUGCAAGCUCGUUACUCCGAGCCUUAGGUGUCCCAGAGAUGCAAGAUCAACAAAUAUUGGUGAGGUUUGGACUGCCAGGGUUUGAAGAAAAACCUCAGGCAGAGCAGGAGGACAUAUUAAUAUAUCUCUAUACAAAAUGGCAUGAUCUACAACAUGAUUCUUCUAUAAUUGAAGCUUUAAAGGAGACUGAUUUUGUAAGGAGUGCUGAUGAACUUUCUGCAAAGUUUUGUAAACCAAAAGAUCUUUUCGAUCCAGCAGACACUUUAUUGGCAUCUAUAUUCUCUGGUGAUAGGAAGAAAUUUCCUGGAGAAAGAUUUGUUGCAGAUGGGUGGAUUAACAUACUCAGAAAAACAGGCCUUCGAAAUGCUUCAGAGGCUGAUGUUGUACUUGAAUGUGCGAAAAAGGUGGAAUCUAUUGGAAGCGAAACUGCAGAAUCCAUAGAAUUUCUUGACGAUUUUGAAACAGACGUAGUUAGCUCGAAGAAAGAGGUGUCGAUUGAAACAUGGUCCUUGGCAGAAACUCUAGUAAAAGCAAUAUUUGCAAAUUUUGCAGUCCUGUACAGCAAUAACUUCUGCAGUUGUCUUGGUAAGAUUGCAUGCAUUCCUGCAGAAAAAGGGUUUCCCAAUAUAGGUGGCAAAAAUGGUAGGAAGAGAGUACUUACUUCGUACAGUGAAGCUAUUUUGUUAAAAGAUUGGCCGCUUGCUUGGAGCUCUGCUCCCAUUCUUUCUAAACAGAGUGUUGUUCCACCCGAGUACUCUUGGGGCGCCCUUCAACUCAGGAGUCCUCCAUCAUUUUCAACUGUUUUGAACCACCUUAAGGUAUCAAAUAAAGAGAAAUAUUAUGCUGAUUCACAAAAUAAUGUUUUACAUGAUCCAUAUUUCUUUACUAAAAAUUCACAAUAUUUUAAGAAUGUGCUAAAUUGUUUGUUUAUUUAUCAGAAUAUUGGAAGAAACUCUGGUGAAGACACUUUGGCUCACUGGCCAAAACCAUCUAAUGAGCGAUGUCUUUCUUACACCAUAGAAUCUGUUGCAAGCUCGUUACUCCGAGCCUUAGGUGUCCCAGAGAUGCAAGAUCAACAAAUAUUGGUGAGGUUUGGACUGCCAGGGUUUGAAGAAAAACCUCAGGCAGAGCAGGAGGACAUAUUAAUAUAUCUCUAUACAAAAUGGCAUGAUCUACAACAUGAUUCUUCUAUAAUUGAAGCUUUAAAGGAGACUGAUUUUGUAAGGAGUGCUGAUGAACUUUCUGCAAAGUUUUGUAAACCAAAAG
RNAcentral lists this long non-coding RNA (1317 nucleotides) under Daucus carota (carrot). Its description in RNAcentral is "long non-coding RNA (DCAR_LNC005873)". The record is from RNAcentral. Lineage: Eukaryota; Viridiplantae; Streptophyta; Magnoliopsida; Apiales; Apiaceae.